CGGGACCUUCUGACUGCUCAGUCUAUGGACUAUCUUGUUGUGGAUUAUCACCAAGGACUUAUUUCAUUGUGGUUCUACUCUGUGGAGAUAUCUUAUGAACUGCUCUUUGCCUGUGCAUUCUGUGAUUCCGUGCUUACUGCUGAUGGAUUAACUGUCCCUUGGAUUAACAGAGCCAUUCCAGGCUGGAUCACUGGAUUUAAAAGCUCUGAAGGGAUUGGUAGCAUUUUCAUAAAUGAGCUCCCCAAACCUUGGAUCUUUGAUUGUUCUGCACAUAAAGAUGACUUGCUCCAAUCCUUGGGGAGAAGGAAACAGUCCAAACACCAUCCUCAAUUAUAAUUAGUAAUAAUUUAUAAAUAUGGACAAAACAAAAUGAACAGGAACCUGUUCUACUCACAUUAAUAAAACCACAGACAGAAAUGAAAACAUCUCCUCGAAUGCCAAGUAUUGUAACUUGCUCUAGAGAUUGGCGAUGUUUGAAUAAGUAGAA
Molecule: long non-coding RNA, 487 nt
Organism: Silurus meridionalis
Lineage: Eukaryota; Metazoa; Chordata; Actinopteri; Siluriformes; Siluridae
Exons: 3
Source: RefSeq, a predicted model, not a curated record